AAAAAUUGUAUAAAAAGUAAAAUAAUCCAACUGACGUGACGUGUCGUGUAAGCGUUUUAUGUUUUUUUAUAAAAAAAAUGCAGCAAUAAUGAUAAAAAUGCAGACGUAUUUUGAAAGAACAUCUAUUUAAUACAAUAGAACACAAAUUUUGAAGUUCAUAAGACCUCUUCAGAGUACAAACCCUAAUCACCAAAAUAUUAAAAGGCAUUAUGAAGACCUAUUCAGAAACUUACAUCCCCACCCUCACAUUUACCUGGUGGUGUAAAAUAUUCUGGCCAGGAUCUGAGUUCAUAUCGGAUCAGAUCAGUCCUCAAGAUGUUAGGAUGACAACGAUGUAUCCAACACAUCGUCCGAGACAUCAGCACCAGGUUUGUGAAAACAGCACUUGCCAAUGUUUGUCAAGUUGAAAAGUCUACAGUAUGUCUGCUUCAAGACCUAAAUAAUUAUAUCUACUUAAUUCGGUAUCAAGCAAUAAAAUGAAAAAUGAAAAAUUGAAGACAGGGAAUCUUUGUACAUUUCCAAAAAGGACAAGCUAAAAUCACAAAAUUCGGUUUUGGAGCCUAAAAUGCAAUGAUAUUGGAAUAAUAUGGGACAACAUUCAAGAAGAUUUACCUUAAUGUUUAUCUAGAAUUCAAUCAAUUAUAUUUGUCUUCAUAUUUAAACAGAAUGUUUGAAUUCAAUAUAAUAAAAAAUAACCCAACCAUA
Molecule: long non-coding RNA, 705 nt
Organism: Spodoptera frugiperda (fall armyworm)
Lineage: Eukaryota; Metazoa; Arthropoda; Insecta; Lepidoptera; Noctuidae
Exons: 3
Source: RefSeq, a predicted model, not a curated record